ACACGACUACAUUAGAUACCCGUGUAGUCCCAGCCGUAAACUAUGCUUGCUAGGUGUCAGGGACGGUGCGACCGUUUCUGGUGCCGCAGGGAAGCCGUUAAACUCGCUGCCUGGGGAGUACGGUCGCAAGGCUGAAACUUAAAGGAAUUGGCGGGGAGCACCACAAGAGGUGGAGGCUGCGGUUCAAUUGGACUCAACGCCGGAAAACUCAUCGGGAGCGACAGCAGUAUGAUUGCCAGGUUGAUGACCUUGCUUGACAAGCUG
This 264-nucleotide ribosomal RNA is filed under the name uncultured archaeon. Its description in RNAcentral is "partial 16S ribosomal RNA". It matches the Rfam family "Archaeal small subunit ribosomal RNA", at positions 719 to 982 of the family's 1478-position model. The record is from RNAcentral.